This 478-nucleotide ribosomal RNA is filed under the name uncultured bacterium. Its description in RNAcentral is "partial 16S ribosomal RNA". It matches the Rfam family "Bacterial small subunit ribosomal RNA", at positions 28 to 507 of the family's 1533-position model. The record is from RNAcentral.
GAUGAACGCUGGCGGCGUGCUUAACACAUGCAAGUCGAACGGGAAACCUUUUAUUGAAGCUUCGGCAGAUUUAGCUGGUUUCUAGUGGCGGACGGGUGAGUAACGCGUGGGUAACCUGCCCUAUACAGGGGGAUAACAACCAGAAAUGGUUGCUAAUACCGCAUAAGCGCACAGGGCCGCAUGGUCCGGUGUGAAAAACUCCGGUGGUAUAGGAUGGACCCGCGUUGGAUUAGCCAGUUGGCAGGGUAACGGCCUACCAAAGCGACGAUCCAUAGCCGGCCUGAGAGGGUGAACGGCCACAGUGGGACUGAGACACGGCCCAGACUCCUACGGGAGGCAGCAGUGGGGAAUAUUGCACAAUGGGGGAAACCCUGAUGCAGCGACGCCGCGUGAAGGAAGAAGUAUCUCGGUAUGUAAACUUCUAUCAGCAGGGAAGAUAGUGACGGUACCUUACGAAGAAGCCCCGGCUAACUACGUG